This 426-nucleotide long non-coding RNA is filed under the name Capsicum annuum. Its description in RNAcentral is "long non-coding RNA (CANN_LNC007313)". Lineage: Eukaryota; Viridiplantae; Streptophyta; Magnoliopsida; Solanales; Solanaceae. The record is from RNAcentral.
UGACUCUUCACUUGUUCUAAUCUCCCACUAAUAGUUGUCACUUCUCCCCUUAUGGCUCCCACUUUCGUACUCAACCUUUCAAGAGCUCGGGUCAUAGCCUCAAGAGUGACCCUCAUAUUCUCCAUUUCAUUAGAAUCCACGGUUUGAGACGUGGUUCCCUCCAUUAUCAAGGUAUCACCUACACAAGCAACAAAUAAGUUAGUUUAAAAUCCCUCUCCUCACUCACACUCUCUUAGUUCACUCACACUCAAGUUCCACAAGAGUUGUAGAUUGGCUAGGAACCCGUGAAUCCGUAAGGUAUGAGUAUGCUCUUGCCCGGAAUGGAUUCUUGUUUGAAACUCAAAGAAUUCUCGUCGGACUAGAGCCAAUAGUUACAACGUAUUCAAAUAACAAAAGCACACAAACAAACGUUGACACGAACACAAG